This 1168-nucleotide ribosomal RNA is filed under the name Klebsiella oxytoca. Its description in RNAcentral is "partial 23S ribosomal RNA". It matches the Rfam family "Bacterial large subunit ribosomal RNA", at positions 591 to 1759 of the family's 2925-position model. The record is from RNAcentral. Lineage: Bacteria; Pseudomonadati; Pseudomonadota; Gammaproteobacteria; Enterobacterales; Enterobacteriaceae.
GGGUGACUGCGUACCUUUUGUAUAAUGGGUCAGCGACUUAUAUUCUGUAGCAAGGUUAACCGAAUAGGGGAGCCGCAGGGAAACCGAGUCUUAACUGGGCGUUAAGUUGCAGGGUAUAGACCCGAAACCCGGUGAUCUAGCCAUGGGCAGGUUGAAGGUUGGGUAACACUAACUGGAGGACCGAACCGACUAAUGUUGAAAAAUUAGCGGAUGACUUGUGGCUGGGGGUGAAAGGCCAAUCAAACCGGGAGAUAGCUGGUUCUCCCCGAAAGCUAUUUAGGUAGCGCCUCGUGAAUUCAUCUUCGGGGGUAGAGCACUGUUUCGGCUAGGGGGUCAUCCCGACUUACCAACCCGAUGCAAACUACGAAUACCGAAGAAUGUUAUCACGGGAGACACACGGCGGGUGCUAACGUCCGUCGUGAAGAGGGAAACAACCCAGACCGCCAGCUAAGGUCCCAAAGUCAUGGUUAAGUGGGAAACGAUGUGGGAAGGCCCAGACAGCCAGGAUGUUGGCUUAGAAGCAGCCAUCAUUUAAAGAAAGCGUAAUAGCUCACUGGUCGAGUCGGCCUGCGCGGAAGAUGUAACGGGGCUAAACCAUGCACCGAAGCUGCGGCAGCGACACUAUGUGUUGUUGGGUAGGGGAGCGUUCUGUAAGCCGUUGAAGGUGGCCUGUGAGGGUUGCUGGAGGUAUCAGAAGUGCGAAUGCUGACAUAAGUAACGAUAAUGCGGGUGAAAAACCCGCACGCCGGAAGACCAAGGGUUCCUGUCCAACGUUAAUCGGGGCAGGGUGAGUCGACCCCUAAGGCGAGGCCGAAAGGCGUAGUCGAUGGGAAACAGGUUAAUAUUCCUGUACUUGGUGUUACUGCGAAGGGGGGACGGAGAAGGCUAUGUUGGCCGGGCGACGGUUGUCCCGGUUUAAGCAUGUAGGCGGAUGUUCCAGGUAAAUCCGGAGCGUCACUAACGCUGAGGUGUGAUGACGAGGCACUACGGUGCUGAAGUGACAAAUGCCCUGCUUCCAGGAAAAGCCUCUAAGCAUCAGGUAACAUCAAAUCGUACCCCAAACCGACACAGGUGGUCAGGUAGAGAAUACCAAGGCGCUUGAGAGAACUCGGGUGAAGGAACUAGGCAAAAUGGUGCCGUAACUUCGGGAGAAGGCACGCUGAUGGUA